RNAcentral lists this ribosomal RNA (780 nucleotides) under Lacrimispora celerecrescens. RNAcentral describes it as "bacterial SSU rRNA". It matches the Rfam family "Bacterial small subunit ribosomal RNA", at positions 73 to 870 of the family's 1533-position model. The record is from RNAcentral. Lineage: Bacteria; Bacillati; Bacillota; Clostridia; Lachnospirales; Lachnospiraceae.
GGAUGGAAUUUGAAAUGACUGAGCGGCGGACGGGUGAGUAACGCGUGGGUAACCUGCCUCAUACAGGGGGAUAACAGUUAGAAAUGACUGCUAAUACCGCAUAAGCACACAGUACCGCAUGGUACAGUGUGAAAAACUCCGGUGGUAUGAGAUGGACCCGCGUCUGAUUAGCUUGUUGGCGGGGUAACGGCCCACCAAGGCGACGAUCAGUAGCCGACCUGAGAGGGUGACCGGCCACAUUGGGACUGAGACACGGCCCAAACUCCUACGGGAGGCAGCAGUGGGGAAUAUUGCACAAUGGGGGAAACCCUGAUGCAGCAACGCCGCGUGAGUGAAGAAGUAUUUCGGUAUGUAAAGCUCUAUCAGCAGGGAAGAAAGUGACGGUACCUGACUAAGAAGCCCCGGCUAACUACGUGCCAGCAGCCGCGGUAAUACGUAGGGGGCAAGCGUUAUCCGGAUUUACUGGGUGUAAAGGGAGCGUAGACGGCACAGCAAGUCUGAAGUGAAAUCCCCGGGCUCAACCCGGGAACUGCUUUGGAAACUGUUGGGCUGGAGUGUUGGAGAGGCAAGCGGAAUUCCUAGUGUAGCGGUGAAAUGCGUAGAUAUUAGGAGGAACACCAGUGGCGAAGGCGGCUUGCUGGACAAUAACUGACGUUGAGGCUCGAAAGCGUGGGGAGCAAACAGGAUUAGAUACCCUGGUAGUCCACGCCGUAAACGAUGCAUACUAGGUGUCGGGGAGCAAAGCUCUUUCGGUGCCGCCGCAAACGCAGUAAGUAUGCC